UCCCUGGUGGUCUAGUGGCUAAGACUCUGUGCUCCCAACGCAGGGGGCCUGGGUUCAACCCCUGGUCAGGGAA
Bos taurus (domestic cattle) is the source of this 73-nucleotide non-coding RNA. The record is from Rfam. Lineage: Eukaryota; Metazoa; Chordata; Mammalia; Artiodactyla; Bovidae.